GGGUCAGUAGGUUGGUCGUGCCACCGGUACGUACUGGUCUCACUGAUUCCUCCUUCCUGACCAACCGUAAUGCCAUUAAUUUGGUGUUGCGGGGAAACAGGACUGUUACUUUGAAAAAAUUAGAGUGUUUAAAGCAAGCUAACGCUUGAAUACGUUAGCAUGGAAUAAUGAAAUAGGACGAUCGAUCCUAUUUUGUUGGUUUCUAGGAUUGACUUA
This 216-nucleotide ribosomal RNA is filed under the name Glomeromycotina sp. RNAcentral's name for it is "partial small subunit ribosomal RNA". The stretch from base 40 to 216 matches the Rfam family "Eukaryotic small subunit ribosomal RNA", at positions 686 to 864 of the family's 1831-position model. Lineage: Eukaryota; Fungi; Glomeromycota. The record is from RNAcentral.